This 7010-nucleotide long non-coding RNA is filed under the name Homo sapiens (human). RNAcentral describes it as "HSALNT0370358". The record is from RNAcentral. Lineage: Eukaryota; Metazoa; Chordata; Mammalia; Primates; Hominidae.
GCGUUUACAAACCUUUAGCUAGACACAAAAGUUCUCCAAGUCCCCUACCUGAUUAGCUAGACACAGAGCGCUGACUGGUGCGUUUACAAACCUUUAGCUAGACACAGUGCUGAUUGGUGCGUUUACAAUCUUUUAGCUAGACAGAAAAGUUCUCCAAGUCCCCAUCCGUCCCAGAAGCCCAGCCGGCUUCAUCUCUCACUGGCAUUGGCAGGGCAGCGGGACUUUGCGACACCUAGCCCGGGCACUCCAGCAGCCCAGAGGGAGCUCCUCCCAGACAAUCAAGAGGGAAAGAGGGGAAGCAGAAAGAGACGGAGACCUGCUAUCUUGGCCAACGAUCCCGUGAAGAGGGAACGGCGGUCUACGCAGGGAAUUCAGCUUCCUAUCAAGCCUAGCAGCUGUCACCCGCAGGUGCUGGGCUUCGUUGCUGUUUCUGGCAGAGUCCUGCUUCUCGCGCCCGCUGCACUGGGUUUGGCGUCUCUGCUGUUCGCUGAGAUCUGCACACUCCAGGAGCCAUAGGGAGGACGCCAGGACAGCCCCGAAGACGAGAAUGCCUCGCUCCUCCUAGGACGGGAGGAAAAUCCCACAAAUCCUGUCUACUCCAAGCAGCCGCGCCCCUCGGGAGACCACCCCAGUUGGAGGGGCCCACUCCAGCCACCGCUACACCGGGACGCGCUCCUCCUCCCCCUGUGCCCGCCCCUUCUCGUGAGGGACCACCAGGAGGCCCCUCGAUUCCCCAGCAAAACACAGGUUUUGGAGCCAGAGUUUCUGAGUUUGAAUGUUUGGUCUGCUACUGACCAACUCUAUGGGCUUGGGCCUGCAAAGAAAACAUCAAAGAAGAAGGUCAAAAACCAAUUACAUUCUAGGAGUGACCUUGAUGACUUAACUCUGUAAUCUGCAGCAACCUCAGAGGAUCAUGGGAUGCAUUAUGCACGUCAUGGAAUGGAUUGUAAUGUGUAACAUCUAUGAAAUCAAAGGAUGAAGAAGAUCGUGCCCAGAGCUCUCCUUGGGGGUGGAUGACAGAAUGAACAUUUACUCUGGGCUCACUGGAAAAGCUCCAACGUCUUGGAAAUUGAGUGGGUAAGCACAACCUUGAGCACAUUGUCAGCAUUCCAUUUCUUUUUUGAAUAAGAAUAUGCAGUUUUACCAAUAUCAUUGGUUCAAGAGGCUUUCCUUUCCCAGUUGUGUAUUCUUGGCACCUUUGUUGAAGAUCACUUGACUGUGUAUGUGUGCAUUUAGUUCUGGGCUCUCUUUUCUCUCCCAGGGGUUCUAAUGGGUGCCCUUAUGCUAGGACCAUGCUGUCUAAAUUUCUGUGGCUUUGUUGUAAAUUUGAAUCUUAUGAAUGUCUGUCCUCCAACACUAUUCUUUUUCAUGUUAUCAUGGCUAUUUGAGGCCAUGGGAAAAUUCAUAAAAAUAAUUUUAGGAUUAGCUUUUCCAUUUCUGCACACAUGGCCAUUACCAGUUCGAUAAUAGUUGUUUUGAGUCUGUAGAUCAUUUGUGUAAUAUUGUGUAUUAGUAAGAUUUAGACUUCCUAUCCAUGAAUACAGGAUGCCUUUUCACUUAUUUUUACCUUCUUUGCUUUCUUUCAGUAGUCUUUCUUUCUAAUCACUCUACAAGUAUUUCACCUCCUUGGUUAGGUUUAUUCCUAAGUAUUUAGUUAUUUUAGAUGUUAUUAUAAGUGGGAUUACAUUUGUCAUCUUCUUGUUGGAUCAUUCACUGUUGGUUUGUAUUAACAAACCAAUCAUUUGAAUAUUGGCCUUGUACCCUGCAACUUUGAUGUAAUUAUUAACACUAAUAGCAUUCUUGGAGAUUAUUUCUGAUUUUCUAUAUGUAGAAUGAUAGAGAAGUUCUGUUUCACACCUAUUUUCUCAAGAUAGUCUAUAUUGAUACUGUAAAGAUAUGUUCAUAUUCACCUACUGAAUGAUGUCCUUCCAAAAGGCCUUGUUAGAUUAUUCAAAAAAUAUUUUGUCAUUACAUUCCACAAUUUAAUAAAAAAUAGUAAUUCAUUGUCCAUAAUGUUGUCUUUUUCUCCAUUUAGUAAAAUGCAGUAUUUCUCAUUACAUUCUGCACACCUAACUUUCCUGUUAGAUAUUAUCUGGAAGAAUACAGAAUCUAUUUUCCUUCUGUUUUAAGAUCAUCAAUGACCCUUUAAAUUCUCGAUUUCAUUAAUCUGAAGUGAAUCUGAAAUGCAGAAAUGUGAAGGAAGGCAUUUCACACAGAAAAGAAUUCUAACAUUUCUUGUAACAAAUUGGUGCAAAAGUAAUUGUGGUUUUUUGCCUUUACUUUUAAUAACACAGCUUCCUUCUCUUCUUCAGCCUGAAAUGUGUAUUUAGUUUACCAUAUUGGAGAGCAUGUUGCUUCUUCUCAUAUCACAAGUUUUUCCAAAUAUAUCAUAACUUCUGUGUCUAAGUCAGUUUAUCUACCAAAACAUAUAAAUUUUAAAUAUAUUUUUGUGGAUUUUACAAAAUUUUCUCUUUACAGAGCUAUUAAUUAUAUACUUUCACCCAACCUAUGAUCUCCAGGUAUAAGGAAUGCACAAAUUAGUUUUCCUGUGACAGCAUGCAGAGCACUUUUCCAAGGUGAGGCUAUGGGCAUCUCCACAACUGGGAAACAGGCUCAGUUUGAGCCACUUCUAUUUAGGAGGAGUAAAUCAUACAGGAUGAUAUUAUGUCAUAUUUUUAGAACACCAAGAUGUUAUAGAAGACAAUUCAUCUCCCCAGGUAAACUGGUGUUCAUCUUAUUUGACCAGGUAUUUGUUGAUCUUUGGUCAGGUAACUCAUUCAUUUUGUAGAAAAUAUAAUUUUUAAAAAAUUGUAAGUAGUCACUGUGUAGAAUCAGGAUGUCACCAAAAGCAUUUUUGAUACCUGUGUCUGAUUCCUUCAACAUCAGGUUGGGGUUAAGUUAAAGUGGUUAUUUUGGUACAAAGCAGCUAUGUGUCAUGGCAUUAGCCCUGACUUGGAAGCUUAUCUCCUGGGUUUGAGUGCCCCUCUGGAACUUGCUAAGCUGCGAGAUACCAAGCAAGUUGAUACAUCUCUACUUUCUUCAAGAUAUACAAUACACAUUUUAUUUAAUUAACCCAUUCAACCCUCACGGCAGCCCUCACCUGAGUUGUGGUUGUUCACUAUCUGUACUCCUCAGAUGAAGAAACUAAGGUGCUAAAUGCAUAUGCCCAAGCAUACAAGCCCCUAAGGAAAGGAGGUAACAUAUGCCUAGGCAUGUGGCCCUGGUGUUAAUACAAUCAAUUAUUGAACUGCAGUUAUCACCCCAAAAAGGGUGGCUCACAACCCUGCCAUCAGUUGUAACCAUAAGGUGAUUCCCUUACCCAUGCCAGUCCUAGGUUUACAUGGGUCUACAGAAAUCCCAAACAUCGUCUACAAGGUGGCUACAGUAGUCACAGAGCUUAGGGAAAACAUCAGCAUUUGAAACUGCAAGAUUUAACAUAGCCAUUGGUGAUAAAAGGACAUAGAAGGCCCGUAUACCUCUGAUACUAGGGACAAAUACAAGUUUCUGAAUAUUAGGAAGCAGCACUUAGAAAUAUUCAUAAACACUUUGGGAUGCCCAGGCGGGUGGCUCACGAGGUCAAGAGAUUGAGACCAUCCUGGCCAACAUGGUGAAAUCCUAUCUCUACUAAAAAUACAAAAAUUAGCUGGGUCUGGUGGCAUGUGCCUGUAGUCCCAGCUACUCCAGAGGCUGAGACAGGAGAAUCACUUGAACCCAGGAGGCGGAGGCUGCAGUGAGCCAAGAUCGCACCACUGCACUCCAGCCCGGUGACAGAGCAAGACUCUGUCUCAAAAGAAAAAAAAAUAGCAGUUUAAAAAUAAUGUUAUAGUUGAUAGAAUUUGUGAGGAGGGAUGUGUAAGGGACAUGUAAGGAUUUCAAUUGUUUUGGGACUUUGUGACUAUUUACAUAGAUACAUCACACAAGGAGCUUUAGAACACACUUUACAAGUUAUAAACAUAACCAAUAGACAAAUGGAAAAUAAUGAUGAUGGAGCUAAUAAGAGUUUUAUGGUAGAGACAAGUGGGAGAAUUUUGUGAUAAAUAGUUGACUUUUUAAAAUUAUGAAUACAGAAAGAUGAAUUUUAAGCAUGUUAUUUAGAAUCUUAGGAAGUACCAGAACAACUAAUAACAGAAACAAAAACUGUGCCUAUAGCCGAGUGGGUGUGGUAGGAGCUCUUUUCUGUAUUAUCUUGCUCUUCUUUAAAUUUUGAAUUCUUUGCACCACACAAUAAAUGAACGUACCUUGUAUUAUUGUAAAUAUUCCCCCAUCACUAACAUAUUUGUGUUUGGUUUCUGUUCAGCCCCGUCACCUGUCCUUAGUUCCUCUGAACUAUACAGAGGAACAAAUCAAUAUAAAUGCAGAAGAGAAAAGAUGAGAUCAGCUGAUUUUGGUGUUGAUAUGGGUAAUAUCUGAUUUACAUUCAGUUUUCAUGUGGGAUCUCUGUGCCUGGCUUGGUUUAAUGAUUCAAAGUGACAAUACAGUCAACUUCUGAGAAAAUGAUCUAUGGAAAAUUGAAAGUUUAAAAUAUUUUCUUCCUCCUAACUUUGAAGAGGACUUGUUUCAUAUCAAAUCUGCCUGUUCAUCUGCCUGUCCGUCCACUCACUGUUUAUCCAUGGAUCUUGGUGUUAGCUUCUGAGGUGGUAAUGAAUUCAAAACCCUUCUGUUCCUACUCUCAUAUUAAAGGUUCAAAAAUCAACCUUGAUUGCAAUGAAGCACUAAGCCCACAACCACAACUCAGGUGAGGGCUGCCUUGAGGGUUGAAUGGGUUAAUUAAAUAAAAUGUGUAUUAUAUAUCUCGAAGAAAGUAGAGGUAUAUCAACUUGCUUGGUAUCUCACAGCUUAGCAAGUUCCAGAGGGGCACUCAAACCCAGGAGAUAAGCUUCCAAGUCAGGGCUAAUGCCAUGACACCCAUGAUUUAUGGGUGGAUUGGUGGCAGGACAAGAUAGAAAGGAACCAGCGGUGGCUCAGGGUUUUGACCUGAGCAACCAGGGAGAGGAGGUGUCGUGUAGACAGAUAGGAAAGACACAAUUCUUUGAACACAUUUGGGACUCAGAUAGUCAAGGCAGCAAGGAUGAAGAUGGUUUGUCUCAUCACCCGUCUUCCAGGUGACUCUGGUGGGCUCCCUCUUUGAAAGGGUGCCUUCUGGGGGCUGACUUUCAGGCUAGCGGUUGGCUUCUUUUGACUGGGGGUCAAGUGGGCCUCCAGACACCCUGAGCUGCAUGGAGAACAGCAAGGGCCUUUUGCUCAUCUGCAGUGUACAGCACUGCCUCUACUUCAUCUUGAUGCUGCUCCUGGUCAGUCUUCUCGGCACGCUGGGGACCUCCUUACUCACAGACCCAAUUCCUGUUAAACAAGUUAAGUGCUGCCAGGUAGGGUGCUCUGGGGUGGACCCUGCAGUUCUAGGGAGUCACUGAAGAAUAGGGAAAUUCCUGCAUUGUCUUUGGAAAGGGGAGGGUUUGGGGGAGCAUUGGGGUGGGCAGAAACAGGCAGGUACAUUUUAAAGGGCUCAGCAGAGUGAAACAAAGCUGAACUCAACCAGAUGUCCUGCAGCGAUUUGCCAGGUAUUCCUUUAGAUCGAGAAGUUUGGCUUUUAAAAUGCAAAUUUUCCUUGGAAGUUUUAAAUCCACCAACCUUAGUAUGAAUUAAUGCAAUCAGGGCACUCCCAGCUGUUACCCACCCAGGGGGAAUGAAGCCAAUGGACAUUCAGCCCCCACUGUAGUGCAGUAGGUGAGAGCAUGGCAGGCUCUGGAGCAGACUGCCAGGAUGCCGAUCCUAGCCUUGCCCUUACUAGUGUGUGUGAUCCCGGAUGAAUAUUUAACUUUUCUGUGGCUCAGUUAAAUGGAUGUAAUAAUAUCUACCUCAAAGAUCAGUUAUGAGGAUUAAAUGAGUUAAUCAAUGUAAAGCACUUAGAACAGUGUUUCGCAUAUGUACGCCUCAUCUUAGUAUUAGCUGCUGUUAUUGUUACUAUUAAUAAACAAUCCUUGAAGAGCAAGAACCGAAUUAUCUGUGCCCCACAAUACCCAGCAUCACUCCAUUACUAUGACAGACCUGCCACAUGUAUUUCUUGGAUGGGUUACUCAAUGGAUCUCUUUGCCACUUCUACAUUUUUCUUCUUCUACUUUGUUUUAUAGCAGAGGAGGGGCAGAAUUUAGGUGGAGUUCAUUGCUCAGCUGGACUGAAAAAGCUGAACUGGAAUAACUUUCAGUGAACAUGGGCAGUGGGUAAACAUUGGGAAUUUGCAGACUUUCAAAUGAGUCCUCUCUCGAGCACACAUCCUCUAAGUUAGUAGCAACACCAUUAACUCUUUGAAGACUAGGAAGGCACAGUCUUAUUGUCUCUGUAUCCUUAGUCCCCAGCACAGGGGUUCGUAGAAGAGGAAUGACUGAAUCUUCAGGUGUCUGUGGGCUGCCAGGAGGACACUUGGCCAAGAACUAUGUCUCAUCUUGCUUUCUGAGACCUCUUCCCCUCUUUUACACUUGUUCCUGUCUUUUGAAUACCAGGAAGCCCAGGUUGCCUUCUGACCUUCAGAGGCCCUCACACCACCUAUUCCGGGGGCUCCAGUACCAUCUUUCCCUGUAAAUGAGGCAGCACAGACUUUGAAUUUAGGCAAACCUGGGUUCAAGUUUCAGCUUCACUGGUAUCUUGCUACACUCAUAACCGUAGACAAUUUUACUUAUUUUUGUUAAGUCUCAGUAUCUUCAUCUGCAAAAUGUGGAUAAUAGUAACUAUCUCAUGGAAUUGUCAUGAGGGAGUUUCUUAAAUGUAGUUAUGUACAGAACUCUUUUAAAGGAACUCCUAAAAUCUCAAUGUUUAUCCAAAUGAGUUUUUCAAUAAUGCUACUUGGAUACAUGCAAAUAUAAUGUUCUAUAAUAUUUAGCUAUAAAUUCAAUGUUUUUAUACAACCUAAACAAAAUUACAAACUAAAUACAAAUAAAACUAUAACAUUAAUAAAAUACAAAUUAACAAUUUUAAUGUAACAGAUAAUGUUUUGCUGAAAUUAAACGUUGCUGAUG